AGAGUUUGAUCCUGGCUCAGAUUGAACGCUGGCGGUAGGCUUAACACAUGCAAGUCGGGCGGUAGCAGACAUUUUGAUUUUGCUUGCAAAAUCUCGUGCUGACGAGCGGCGAACGGGUGAGUAACGCGUAGGAAUCUACCUAGUAGAAGGGGAUAGCCCGAGGAAACUCGGAUUAAUACCGUAUACGUCCUUAGGGAGAAAGAGGGCUUAGCUUUGAUGCUCUCGCUAUUAGAUGAGCCUGCGUAAGAUUAGCUUGUUGGUGAGGUAAAGGCUCACCAAGGCGACGAUCUUUAGCUGGUCUGAGAGGACGAUCAGCCACAUUGGGACUGAGACACGGCCCAGACUCCUACGGGAGGCAGCAGUGGGGAAUAUUGGACAAUGGGCGCAAGCCUGAUCCAGCCAUACCGCGUGUGUGAAGAAGGCCUUCGGGUUGUAAAGCACUUUAAGUAAGGAAGAAAAGAGUAUUGUUAAUACCAAUACUCCGUGACAUUACUUACAGAAUAAGGACCGGCUAAUUCCGUGCCAGCAGCCGCGGUAAUACGGAAGGUCCAAGCGUUAAUCGGAAUUACUGGGCGUAAAGCGCGCGUAGGUGGUUUAUUAAGUUGGGUGUGAAAGCCCCGGGCUCAACCUGGGAACUGCAUCCAAAACUGAUUCACUAGAGUACGAAAGAGGAAAGUAGAAUUCACAGUGUAGCGGUGGAAUGCGUAGAUAUUGUGAGAAUACCGAUGGCGAAGCAGCUUUCUGGUUCUGUACUGACACUGAGUGCGAAAGCGUGGGUAGCGACAGAUAGAUACCUGGUAGUCCACGCCGUAAACGAUGACACUAGCUGUUGUGAAGCUAUGCUUUUUCCAUGGCGCAGCUUACGUCUUAAGUUGUCCGCCCUGCGGAGUACGGCCGCCACGGUUGACUCCAUGAGUUGAUCGGGAGCCGCACACAAACUGACCAGAGUGAAUCAUGCACGCGGAAAACAUACUAACUUGCAUACUGGAGCUUGUUAUAGAGAGAAGUGCUUUGUACCAGAAUACACGGUCAUGCUGUUCCUACAUGCUGGAUUGGUAGUCUCACAAAG
This 1069-nucleotide ribosomal RNA is filed under the name uncultured bacterium. RNAcentral's name for it is "bacterial SSU rRNA". The stretch from base 2 to 881 matches the Rfam family "Bacterial small subunit ribosomal RNA", at positions 9 to 873 of the family's 1533-position model. The record is from RNAcentral.